This is a long non-coding RNA of Anguilla rostrata (American eel), 7048 nucleotides long. RefSeq lists it as uncharacterized. NCBI's taxonomy places the organism in Eukaryota, Metazoa, Chordata, Actinopteri, Anguilliformes, Anguillidae. The record is from RefSeq and is a predicted model, not a curated record. The transcript is spliced from 2 exons.
ACAUGCAUGCAAGUUACUCCCUGCACAGUUGUAGCACUACAAGCUAGCGUUAGCCAACUCCUUUGGAUUGGUGGACGGUAAAGAUCGGAAGUAGUUUAUUUAUGCUAAUGAAGGAGUUGGGGUUGUAGAUAUUUACGUUCAACGGGAGCCGCCCUUCAUUCACCCACAUGGUUAAACGCUGGGUGCGUUCGCGCCACUUUGGCAAUUUUACUACAAUAUAUUAACUCUGACAAAAGCGAAACAUCAACGCCAAUGGCUGCGAUGUUUGAGCUGGAGAUGAGUAGUAACGCGAAUUAAAAGUUUGUCUAGUUUCUUUUUCAGAUUUGCCCUGAGCAGUGACAGUAAACGGUAAGUCUGUGUGUGCAAGUGAGUGAAGAUGGUGGAUUUCGCUGGUGAGUGUCUUACCACGCGCAUGUUAUUGACAAGGAACCUGUUGUUGUAUUUUCUGUGGGAUGGGGGAGUGGAAAUGAGCCUUAUUAAUUUCAAAAGUCUGAUUGGACCGUUCCUAGUUGUUAAUUUCGAGGCGAUGGUCUUUUAAAUGAUCUAUUUGGUAAUAAAAACAAUGUGGUGGUGAGGCGCAUGGCAGCCCUCUCCUCCUCCAUAACGUUAGUUAUUAGAAUGAGGGAGAUUUGAAAAAGCGUGCUGCUGCUGUUUCUCUGCAGUGCCCAUCAGAGCUCCUACUGUAGAUGGGUGCCUUGCAACUAUACGGGAGUUCUUAAUCGUCUGGCGUGCAGAUUCAAGAAUGCCAUAUCGGAGAAGCUGUAGCAAUAUUUUAAGUUUAAGUUAAAGUUAGUUUUCUUCACUCUUCUGUGUGCAGUGGUGUGUGAGUUAAAGUGCCUCCAGAACAAAGCAGCGCAGCACAUGGGGCAGCUGCAGGCCGCGCGGUAUGGCUAGCUUGUUUGCUAGCUUACUAGAUGGCCAUCUGAAAUGGCAUGGAGUCUUCAGAAGAGUCCUAGUGUGUGUCUCUUUUGUAUGACUGGAAGCUGCAUUAUGCUGUUCCGAAACCAUUUUUAAAUUGAGUAGAAUUUGAAUUGACUAGUGCGAACAAUGCGCAAAUCAUCGCAGGCCGGUGGAUGGCUAAUUAGCUAGCUAGGUAAUAUUUAAUUUAGCAUGUUACCAAAGCUAGUCAACCACUAUUGGGCGAAUAUAUAUACCCAAAUUAUUUUAUCUGCUGGCCUUUUACAACUGUGAAAUGACCUAUUAUCGCACCAGCUUUGGCCAUAUUUAGCUUUUCUUAACAUGGGUUUAUUCGCUACCUGGCCAGUGCAUGCUUUGUAGGAUUUAGUCACGUUAGCAGCUAGCGAGCUAAUUUAGCUAUGGUAUAGUAGCUACAACAAGGGAAUGGCCAGUUGACUAUUGUGCUGUUUUAUUUCAAUUCUGAAUAAAAGCUAUGCACUGCUCUUAUUUUGAAGCAGGAAUAAAUUGACAGCGCUGCUUCAUUUCUACCUGAAUUUAACCAGUUAUUUAGUAUUGGAAAAAUGUUUUGUGCGAAAUGCUCAGCUUUGCGGACUCGGCGGCGCCAUAUUAGAGCGGACGGUGGGGGAGGGGUGAACAGGGAUUGUUUAAGAGCAACACGCAUGCGUAUGUCUCACUGUCAAGGCGGGCCGCAAGCUGCGUAUGUCAUUCAACUUUUAAAUCCAUAACCCAAGAAGUUCCUCGGCGAGUCUUUAUUAAUGAACUGGCCAUCUUAUCUGUUACUAUAUACUUUGAGGGCACGUCGAAGCCUUGCUUAAUACGGAACGAUUUUAGAAGUCUGUUGUAUGUUUUCAUAUGUAUUUUCGGAGCGCCCCUCAGUGUUCUGUGAAAGAAUUAAGACCAUGAUGUUCCUGAAAAAACGUGGUGUAACGCGAGGUACCCUUAACUGUUCACCUUAUGCAUUACGAGAAUGCCGCCUAUGACCCGGUUAAUGAGACCUAUCCAAUCUCACGUGCUCCGCUUAGAAAAGACCUGGUUCUCACUUAUUUUCAUGUGCAUUUUCCCUCUCUCGGGUAGGUCUCAAUAAGAACAUUGCUGUGGUAAGUACAUUCUGCAGCUGAUGUCCUGAAUUGAAUUGGUCAUGAGACUUAGAUUUUCACUGAACAUCCUGUCAUUUGAAUUCAUUGAAUCUGUCUUGAUGCAAAAUGUAGGCUCCUCCCUGACAUGAUAUUACGUUUCUCAUUUUGAAUAAGCUGUUGUAUUGAGGGGGAAAAAAGUGAUGAUUGGUAGGUUGCAGAAAAUUCAGGAGGUAAAGAAAAUGCAUGAGAGAGACUCCACACCGAAUGUACGUUGUAUGUUAGGAGUUAAUAUGAUUCCGAAAUGGGAAAACAUUAUUACCCUAACCUUUUUUGUUUGCAUGUUCUCUUACAGAAUGUUUUUCUGGGUUCAAGUCUACGGCGUUUGCCUGAAGAACUGCGAAGCCGCUUUCCAGAGAUUGCCUGGACAGAAAUGCUGUCUGGACCGGUUACGUCACUGUAGUGUCAAAGUGCUUACAGUGCAGGUAGUACUAUGGAAUAUCUACUGCAGUGGAGGCACUUCUAGCCCUACAUUGACCACCAUACAUGACCCCAUGGGACACCAUCAGACCUGAGUAAAACUACUACUUGUGCUAAGGUGCAUCUAGUGCAGAUAGUGAAAUAGACUAGCGCCUACUGCCCUAAGUGCUCCUUCUGGCAUAAGGGCUGUUACUUGCAUCUGAUAUUACACGAGGAACCUUUAUCUGUUUUUGUUUUAUUUUUUGCAGUUCUCUGUUAGUUUUGCAUAGUUGCAUUACAAGAAAAAUUGAGUUGUGCAAAUCUAUGCAAAACUGAUGGUGGCCUGCUUUAUCCUUCUAUUGCCCCCUACCCCCACCAGAAAUAAAAAAAUAAUAAAAAUUGGAUGCACGCUCAGGGAUGUGGCUGCACUUGUGCCUCUGCGAAGACUGGAAAUUGACUUGGUGUGUAUUUGGUUGUGAACAUCUCGGAUGAUCUUAUGAGUUUCAGCAGUAUUAAAGUGCUUAUAGUGCAGGUAGUUUUUAGUCAUCUACUGCAGUAUGAGCACUUGAAGUACUUCUAGAUAUAUGCAUCGGAUUGAGAUGUCAGUGCUUCGUCUGAUUGUCUCUGGUCUCUGGUCAGUUUUGCUGGUUUGCAUUCAGCUUCAGUUCUGGUGCUGUGCAAAUCCAUGCAAAACUGAUCAUAGCCGUGAAUUGCAUCCGUUGAAUCUUCAAGCGGUCUCUUUCUGUGCAGGUUGGGAUGAGUAGCAAUCCUGUACAUUGGUGAAGUAUUGCACUUGUCCCGGCCUGUUCAGGACUGAGGGAACAGGCUUUUGCCUCGUCUUCUGCCAUCCUCGUUUGAUAGGAAUACUUGCUUUUGUAUAUCUUUAGAAUGUCUGUGUGUAAACUCUUCGGAUGAGCAGUGAAUGUGUUUUGGAUGUGGCCUCUUACAAUCAAUGUUUAAUAAAAGGUUUUCUUUACACCUUGUUUCCAUUGAAAUUUGUGUUGCUGUGAAAUAUUGACUCAACAUUUUCAUAUUUAACGGUGGUCAGUUGUAAUCGGGUUUUCUGGUUGGGAGAAAAAAGUUUCUUUAACUUCAUCAGGGAACUUGAACUAAAUGAGAGAAUUGGAUGAAAUACAAUUAAUUUUCUGCCAUGUUUAAAAGGGUUACAGAGCAAUGAUGCCAUUCAGACACGUCUUGGCUAAUUGGGCUAUUUUUCCAGUAAGAAUGCAUCAACAGUAUUUAGUAGAUUGAAGCCUAUAUAGGCAGUGUUUUAAUGCAGUACAGUUACCUAGUUGGAAGGAUUUAUGUCUGCUUUGUGAAACUGAAAAUGAUGAAACUCAAAUGGUAGAUGGCCUGAAUUGGGUGUGCCACAAUGAUAAAACUAGGUUUAUUUAAAUUUAUUUAUUUUUUUUAAAACUGCACGUUAUUUUAUUUUGUUAAAUAGUAUUUUCUAUUUAUUUUUAAUCUGAAUGUCAGCAGUGCUGAUGAAUCUGUUAAUCUUACAAAUAGUGCAGUGUGUAUUUUUUAAGAUUUUGAGCUGACCUAAAUUCGUAAGAUGUUACCAAGUAAUUGGUAGUGGGUGCUGCUGUUGGAAUGUGCUGCUUGAAUUGCAUUCAUAAAUGCCAAGUUGUAAAAACUGGCAAGAGAAAAUCUUUGAGAAAACAAAUGCUUCUAAGUAUUAGCUAGUAAUGUGGUGACAGAACAUAGCAGUUUAAAGAAAUUAAGGGGUAUGUAAACUAGUCUUGGCUGCUCAAUGCUACCUGUACUGCAGGUCCCCAGUGUCCUGACUACAGUUCCAACCUGGCUCUCAGUCUGCCUCCAAAUCAUCCCCAGUUUAAUUGGCUAAAAAAAUCUUUCUCUGCCUCAGCUGAUGUGUGGGGAGGGUUCUGGCGCAAAAUGGCUGCCAUGCAUCACUGAGGUGGGUUUCACACAUUGGUGGUGGUUGAGGCGAGCUUCCCCCUCAUCACUGUAAAGUGCUUUUGAGUGUGAGAAAAAAUGUGAUAUAAAUGCAAGGCGUUAUAAAAUAUUUCAUGUUCCCUCAAAAAGACUCAUAAGAAGCCUGUGGCUCGAUGCAGGUUCGGGCGCACCUAUGAGUGACUGCAGUGCGUGGAUUAGGGUGACUGCAUCAGAAAUGCAUUGGUAGAAAAAACAAGUUGAUUGUGAUGACAUUGGUAAAAAGGAUGUUGGUUUAAAAAAAAAAUAUAUAUAUAUAUGAAGACGUAUUGCGUUGACUUGCUUAAAUCUUAAAUUUUAUCAAUAGUUGUAAACGGAUUAUAAUUUAAAUUAGCUAAUUACUCUAAUAGAUGUAUUAAACACUGGGAGUGGUCCUGUGUUUCUCCCUAAAUGUGCUUGUCAGAUGCCUGAAUUAGAGUGAACUGAAAUUGGGAAUGUUCAUUGAUCAGGGUUAUGUAAGAAAAAAAUGGCAAAAAUACUGCAUCUUUGAAUUCCAUUAUGUGACCACAUCUGUUCUUGCAGGAAAAUAUAGUCAAAAUUUUAAUCAAAAUACAUACAGACCCACAGCAACCAAUGUGAUUCAGUGUUAAGUAGGUUAUGAAUGCAAUAUCACUUAUUGCCAGGUCUAAUUCCAUUGUAUAUAUUUACAUAUUGCUUCUUUUAUCAAGCUCAGAUGAACUCUUUCUGUAGCAUUUAUCAGUCCGGUAACUAUUUUGUAAGAAGAAAGAAAUGUAAUACUUUUAUCAAAAGACCAGAAGCUUUACAGUUGCAUUCAGUCUGAGUGUGGUAUUAAUGUAUUCCAAGUGGCAUAAUUCAGAAUUGAUGUCUUAACCAGUGUUCUCCCAUUUCCCCCACAGUCCGUCAGUAUCAUUUCUGAAUAUUAAUGUGUAAAUUGUUACCGAACCGAAAGUGCUCACCAUGUAUUUUAAAGGGUUGGGCUAUGUGGGGAAGCUUAAUAUUUGCAUUUGCCAACUACCAAUGAAUAGUACUGAACUUAAAUGUAGAGAUAAAUAAAUAAAACAAAUCCUAAUGGCUGGGGGGCUCAGAUUUUAAUGAGUGAGGUUAUAUGCAUAAUAUGAAGUGUGACACUGCAGCUGACAACUUUGAUUCAAAUACUGAAGUUUAUGCCCCGAUUAAUUUAAGCUGCGGCAAGGAAAGGAGUAUUUUCUAUGAAAUGUAGGGCUUAGUGGCCUCUAAACUGAAUGAACAUUGAGAAAAUGAAUGAUUUUCAAUUUGCCUUUGGUUGUAAUGGGCUUUAACUUUGGAAGCUAAAUUUAUUUUUCUUUUUUUAAAAUGUCAUAUAUUAGUUUGGUGGUCACUGAAAUGGGAUCAUGCAUGAAAAACAUUAUCUCAGUGUUAAGGACAAUGAACAUUAGAUAGUUUUGUAGAAAUGGUCAGAAAGGCCCGUGGCAACUUUGAUUUUCCAGAAUUACUCCUAAUAUUUAGGUAAUACUGUACACCUUUUGUAAGGACUAAUUUGUGAAUUUGUAAUUAAAUUUUUCAAAAUUUAGUUGGGAAUUAUACAAUGCUGUCUUGAAGUACUAUCAUAGCAAAAAUCGUCAUAUUAAGAGAACAAUUGUUUCAUUCAUUAUACACUGUCUUGAAAAUGCACUUGAUAAAGUAUAUUAACAUAAAUUAGUCAACAUUAGUCAGUGGUGUUUGCUGAACAUAAAAACAUUAGUAUACGUUAUUAUAUGUUUGGAUCACAGUCACUUUACUCUUUGGAAUUUACACCAAUGUUUUUUUUCUGGCAUCUCAGACCCUGAAUGUAUCAGGAUUCCACCUUUUUCGAGGAAUGUAUCUGAAGCGUCUGAGGACAUCAUUCAGCAGACAAAAAACCAUGGACACGUUGUUCCUCUGUGCCGACAGGAACAUGGCUGCCGGUACGACUGACUUGGUCAGGAACCUGUUUGCUUUGAGAGUAUGGUUGCACUGGGCUUUGAGCUCAAAGUGGGUGAAUCCAUCCAAACCUGCUUCUAUGCCCUCUUCCCAUUGGUGCUUUGUCACAUGAUCAAUCCAGGCCCAACUCCUGUCGCCACGGACUACGGACAACGCCCAAUGCUUCCGGAGGGCCUGCUGGGUGCUCCAUCUCUUUGGGAGCAUUCCCAAGCAGCUGGGCAGGCGAAUCGCGUGGGCCACUGCGCUUCCUGGGUGUGUCUUUCUCCAGGCACUCGGCCUUGGCUCUGAAGUCAACACCACGGACCAUUUGCAGUGCAUUAAGGAGCAUGAGAGGACACUGCUGAAGAUGCCAUACUGCCCCCGAUGCCAGGGCCUCGCCCACAGCAAGCCCUGAAUGUAAUGUGAGGCCGUCUGGCCAGGGCAGGGGAGAUAGAUGGCCACUGGAGGAGCUUGACCUCUCCAUGGAGGAGGUGUCUGCCAGGAUGUGCAGGACCCGCAGCCUGGAGUGAAUGCUGCAACGCAUGCAGCUUCACGUCAACCGCGCGCUCUGGCGUCUACAAAAUCAUCCAAAAACUAAUUUUUGUUUUACAACGUGCCCUUUGGUUGAAAAAAAAGGCUAAAAUGACUCUUUGGAACGUCUCUUGUAAUUACUGUUGCUUGCAUCAUUACUGGACAAAAGAGCACUGAAAAGCCUGUACCAAUGUAACCUUUUGAGGAGACUACUAAAUUUAAAUACUAAGAAGACA